GACGAACGCUGGCGGCGUGCUUAACACAUGCAAGUCGAACGGAAAGGCCCUGCCUGCAGGCUACUCGAGUGGCGAACGGGUGAGUAACACGUGGGUGAUCUGCCCUGCACUUCGGGAUAAGCCUGGGAAACUGGGUCUAAUACCGGAUAGGAGCCAUUUUUAGUGUGAUGGUUGGAAAGUUUUUUCGGUGUAGGAUGAGCUCGCGGCCUAUCAGCUUGUUGGUGGGGUAAUGGCCUACCAAGGCGGCGACGGGUAGCCGGCCUGAGAGGGUGGACGGCCACAUUGGGACUGAGAUACGGCCCAGACUCCUACGGGAGGCAGCAGUGGGGAAUAUUGCACAAUGGGCGCAAGCCUGAUGCAGCGACGCCGCGUGGGGGAUGACGGCCUUCGGGUUGUAAACUCCUUUCGCUAGGGACGAAGCUUUUUGUGACAGUACCUAGAGAAGAAGCACCGGCUAACUACGUG
This 465-nucleotide ribosomal RNA is filed under the name uncultured bacterium. Its description in RNAcentral is "partial 16S ribosomal RNA". It matches the Rfam family "Bacterial small subunit ribosomal RNA", at positions 28 to 507 of the family's 1533-position model. The record is from RNAcentral.